RNAcentral lists this ribosomal RNA (497 nucleotides) under uncultured bacterium. RNAcentral's name for it is "partial 16S ribosomal RNA". It matches the Rfam family "Bacterial small subunit ribosomal RNA", at positions 28 to 507 of the family's 1533-position model. The record is from RNAcentral.
GACGAACGCUGGCGGCGUGCCUAAUACAUGCAAGUUGAGCGCUGAAGGUUGGUACUUGUACCAACUGGAUGAGCAGCGAACGGGUAAGUAACGCGUGGGGAAUCUGCCUUUGAGCGGGGGACAACAUUUGGAAACGAAUGCUAAUACCGCAUAAAAACUUUAAACACAAGUUUUAAGUUUGAAAGAUGCAAUUGCAUCACUCAAAGAUGAUCCCGCGUUGUAUUAGCUAGUUGGUGAGGUAAAGGCUCACCAAGGCGAUGAUACAUAGCCGACCUGAGAGGGUGAUCGGCCACAUUGGGACUGAGACACGGCCCAAACUCCUACGGGAGGCAGCAGUAGGGAAUCUUCGGUAAUGGACGAAAGUCUGACCGAGCAACGCCGCGUGAGUGAAGAAGGUUUUCGGAUCGUAAAACUCUGUUGGUAGAGAAGAACGUUGGUGAGAGUGGAAAGCUCAUCAAGUGACGGUAACUACCCAGAAAGGGACGGCUAACUACGUG